CGAGGCUCCUGGGCUUCGCGAGGACGCAUUUGCAGCCCCCUCUGCCUCUCGUGUCUGGCGACCGAGGCGAGGGAACCGCCUCGCUGGGGCUCGUAGUGGUGUAUUUCAUAUUGGGGCUCUUUUUCGGGGUUUGUAAUUUGGCCGUGGGUAGGUAAUUGGCUGGAGCAGGGCGGCAGGGCGCGGCAGCCAAUCAGCGCGCGGCUUCUAUAGGGCUUGAGUUAUUAGACGCUGAUCUCAAAACAUCCUUCAUCAGACACCAAGGAGAGGCCAACAGAUGAGGGGAGCCAUUUUUCUGCAAUGGAAUUAAAUGGCCAAGUGGGUUUUUCCUUUGUUGCAAAUGGGGAAUGUUUUUCCUUUGACUCCACCAUCCAGUUCAGGACGCCUCAGUGUUGUGUUUAACAUUUGUCAACAAGCUAAAGGACUCACUAUUGGAAGAAUGAAGAAGACUUUUUAAAAAGAUCUGGAUUUUUCCUUAUGACUUGGAAUCCAUCUUUGUCUUGUAUAACUAGGUCAUAGCACACCAUUAAUGUCAGCAGUUAACAAUUUUGAAUUCCAAAAAACCUAAGUAAAUGACAUAUUUAAUUUUUUUCCUCUUUUUUCUUGGGUGGGUGGGGGGAGCUUGGAGCUAUCUUAAUCUGUAUUCUCUUAACUGAACAAUAAAUUUUUAAAUAUAUAUAGUUUCCUCUAUUAAACACUUAAACCUGGCCAUUUUAUUAACUCCUUCUCUCUUUUUUUAACAAGGUAAUGUUUUAAAUGUGUAGUUUUAGGACUAGCGAAAUGGCAGCAACAAAAAAUUGUAAGCAGUUGUUACUCUUUAAGUUUUUAAAAACCUUUUACAUUGUAAGUACCCAAUCCAUUGUGUCCUUACGCAGUGCAGUUUUCAUGUUAAUGUUGCUGAGAUGUCCUUAAUUUUCUGAACCUUCAUCUGCAUGUAUGUCUUUGUUGCUCUUGUCUAUUAUAAGCCAGUUAAAAUGCUCUUAGACGAUUUUGCUUUUAAAAAGCUAAGGCUUUAGCUUUAAGCUUUUGAAAAUGUUUACAGCAAUAAAUGCUAGUCAUCUUUCUUCCUAGUAACAUGUACACUUUCUUUGAAAAUUGAUCAGUUGAAAAACAGCUCUGUUUUUCUCGUCUUGGUAGAGGGGUGGGUGAGGGAAAGGAAGACCUCUUUGUGUAGAGACUGAAGCCGUCACAGGAAACUAGAUUAAAAGUGGAAAACAAGUCCUAGCUGGUUCGAGCCAAACACCAACGUUAACUCGCGGGUAUUUUCUAUGGUGGUUGGGAUGGCCGUGUGUCUUUUUGCCUUUUGUUUGACUUGACUGUGUGUUUUCGCCUUUUGUCUCUUAAUGACGGUCACACCAUUGCUAUAUCGAGAGCAGUAAACAGCCCUCAGCGAAGUCGCCUUUUGCCAACCCAACCCUGGAAAGUUUGCAGAAGUGGAAGGAACAGAAAAUGCCAUGAGAGUGUAACUUACAAAAAGCUUGAUCUUCCAGACUCCAUGGCACCGGGGUGAGCGGGCUCUUGGCCAGAGAAGGGGCAACAGGCCAUACCCCCAGAGUGGACCGUCCUCUGGACAGCAGGAGCAGGCCUAGUUUGACUCUUGAGAGUCCUCCCACUAAGGUAGGUGUAAGCCCUUUUGCAGCCUGGGAGGGAGAUUUAUUUGGGGGGCUUUGGCCCGGAGCCCCGGUUGGGCGUACACCUCAAACCCGCUAGGCUAGUUCUGCGGCCCCUCCCCCACACAGAUGUGUGGGACUGUGUGUGAAACCGGCUGCCUGCUGGGUCCAUCCAUCCCGCCUGUCAGCUUCUGUUGUCAGAGUUUGGGGCGUGGAAUUCUCUGCUGUAUUUAGUAGCAUAGGACAGGCUGCACUGGCAAGUGUUUCCUAGUGGUGUGUUUUGUGGUGGGGGGAGGGCCCUGGAUGCCUAGAAAGAUACUGUUUGCUGCCCAGAAGCAGGGCCUUCCCUUCUUGCCCCCAGUUUGGGCACGCGGAGUGACUGCUUGAGCUGCUAGGGAGGUGAAACAGGACCUGUCAUCUGAGCAAGCUUCCUCUGUGAGGAACAGGUUUCUUGACUCUUCUCCCACUUCCUGGGAAUUCCCACGAUUCCCUCCCCACCCCCACACCAAAACGACCCGUUUCUAGAGCCGUACAUAUCAGCUAGCCAUUUACCUGCUGUACCUUGCAUGUGCUGCAGUCUCUGAGCCCACCUGCACAAGUGGGUCUAGGUCAGUGAUUCUCAAACUGGAGCAUGGAGCGGAAUCACAUUUUAGAACUGAUUCAGUAGGUGGGGCCUGAGAACUUGCAUUUCUGACAUGCUCCCAGGUGGUGCUGCUGCUGCUGUCAUCUGGGGACACAUUUUAAGAACCUUUGGGCUAGCUAACACCUGGGGUGUUGUGAGGAUGCAAGCUCUGUGCUUGGCAGAGUCGCUGGCUGCUUAAUAAUGGCAACUCUCUCUUAAUUCUAACGCAAGCUGUCUGCGCAGUUUCCCAGUGUCUUUUGUCUCCAGGAAGCUCCACAGCUGGAGAUGGUAUGGCCCUUGAUCUCUGACCCUUUCCCCCCUGUGGUCUCUAGUAUGUAAUGACUUUGAUGAACCAUUUGGGGUUUGAACUGACUCUCCUUUGGGCUGCAGAUCAGCCCUGCCCACUUUUACCUGAGAUUUGGGGGAGUCUGUAAGGGCUUGACCCUGAGAUUUUGUUUGGAGCCAUUGUGGUGCUUAAUCAAGGGAGGCUCUUAAGUCAGGUGGCUGUGGGCUUGAAUCUCCACUGUGCUGGUGACCUUGGGCGGGUCUCCUGUGUAAAAUGAUAAUGAUGCAUGCUGAAAAGGGUGGUGGGAGGAUUAUUUGCGAUUAAAGCGGCUGGCCUCUCAUUUAGGCUUCACACUAGUCGGCCUCCAUUCCGAUGUGGCUGCAGGGCAUGGAGGCUGGGCUGGCUGGCUGCGAGCUCCUCCCCACAGCCCACCCCAGAGCACGUGGCAAAGCCUCAGGGCAGAGGGGAAGACUGGCUCUCCUUGGGAAGGGAGCCAGCGUCAUUCUUCCUCUUGUGUAGUUUGAGUUCUGAUCAGGGCCUGCCCCCAGCUCCACAGGCUGUUCCAUGAGCUGUCUUAAUUGGGGGUCACUCACCCUCCCGGAGAGUAUAAGUGACUCGCCCAAGGUCACGAGGUCACCACCAGCAGCCAGGAGAGGGUUCCAGGUGUCUUGACUUCCAGCCCAGCGCCUAUGUCCAUGGCAUCCCCUAGCCCCAGCUGUCUGGGUUAUUUUGGGCUCCCUCCCAUGCCAGCUGUCUGCUGGCAUCACUGCCGGGAGCUGGGAAAGCUGUCUGGUUGAAAGUAACCUGGAGGUGCUCUUGGCUCUUCUGGCUGCCAUGCCUUCGCCUCUCCAGUCCCAGAUACGCUGGGUUUGGUCCAUCUUGUCCUUUGCCAGGAGGAACGGCAUGCACCCCACCACACCUGUCACCAGUCUCCCUUCCCCCUACCCAGGGUGAGGGGGAAGGCUCCUGGUAUAAUUUGAUGAGCCUCUUCCCUCCUUCCGCACUCAACCCCAGACCUAAGGUCUAAGUUCCGCUCUGCCUUUGAUGAAACCAUAAAACUCUCUUGAUCCUCAAUGACCUUUGUGCCGCCUGAGGGUGUCUUGUGUCCCCUUUGGAUAGAGUCCUUGAGGCUCCUGGGGCAGGGGUCUUUACCUGCCUUGGGAGGCAGAUUGUUAAAUGAUUUAAACCCACCCUCCCCUUUCAGCAGCUGCCUGGAGGGCUACAGCCAGUUCUUCCAUUCCCUCCCUGGGACCAAUUAGGGAGCAAUUAGGUGCUAAACUGGUCUGCUUGUGAUUCUUGGAAGGGAGAGGUGUCCCCAUGACCCAGAAGGAUUGUCAUCAGCUACUUCCUCCCCUCUUGAAUUCUCUUUCACCUCCUCUUUCUAAUUUUGUGUCCCCCCCCCCACCCAAUUACCUCCUGGGGACAGGGAGGGACUGGAGCAGCCUGUGUGUCCUCAGGCUGUUGUUCCUUCUUGCCAAGAGGGUAGCCCUGCCCACAGGUCACCCAGGGAGCCAGGGGCGGGGCCUAUCCUGGCACCCUGCCGGUGGGGCUGCCUAGAGGGCCACGCCAGCGGAAGGGCGUCCCCAGGCAGGAAGGCCGCUUGACCUGCCUUACUACUGGAUGCCAUGGUCCGGCCUCUUCCGGCCCAUCCACCGAGAGCCCCGUAUGCAGUGCGACCUUUUGGACCCUCUGGGUGGAAACACAGCUUUUGCCUGGACUGUAGAGAGCGGCACCCUGUCAUUUCAAGGCCAAGGCCACCUCAGUCAGUGCUGUCUCCAGCUGGCAGUAACCUUGGCAGUCCCUGCCCUUCUGGGAGCAGUGGUCUCUCCAUGUGAACCAGGAGAAGGAAGUUAGCCAAUAACCUUUUGAGCUCUUUCUGAUCUAUCUGGCUUUGUGAGGGGAGCUUUUUGUAUGGCAGUGAUUCCCCAGACCACCUCCUAUCUCUGGGACCCCAGAGGUAUACUAAGAGUAGCUUAGUAUAUGAAGGCUCCGCUUCUUCAGUGUCACAUGGAGUAGAUGACCGUCAGGUGUGUGGUGACCUCGCAGGAUGCGCGGAGGCACUAGGGAAGUGGCAUUGUCAUGAACUUCCCCAUCCUAAGCGGCACUGGCCAGACUUUGCCCUGACAAGACAGAAGUGGAUUUGGCCCCUUCUUUCCUGGGCUCAGUUGGCCUUGUUAUGGCACGGGCCAAAUGAGUUCACCCCGCAAAUGCCACCUGGCCAGCUCCCCUAGGCUUCUGUGUCCCAACAGCUCUAUGGAAGAACCAGUUUAAAGCAUCUUUCUUGCCUUUCUAAAUCUCCAGGAAUUCCUGGUGAAUAGGAGAACUGGGUCCUCAGAACGUCUCACAGGUAAAGGAGUAGGGCUCUCAGGCGUGGGGGUGUGCCCAGUUCCUCAGCUGGCUUGCCUGGCCUGGCUGCCUCUGAGGAAGAUUCCAGCAGCUGGCCUAGCUGCUGGCUAUUUUUAGCUACAGAUCCAGCCCCUGCACCACUGGAGCCGGGUCCAAAUCAAACAUGCUCCAGACCGGCUGGGGCUGGGGUUCUGCCAGACUUUUGACCAG
Rhinolophus ferrumequinum (greater horseshoe bat) is the source of this 5071-nucleotide long non-coding RNA. RefSeq lists it as uncharacterized. The record is from RefSeq and is a predicted model, not a curated record. The transcript has 3 exons. NCBI's taxonomy places the organism in Eukaryota, Metazoa, Chordata, Mammalia, Chiroptera, Rhinolophidae.